Molecule: transfer RNA, 64 nt
Filed under: Cavia porcellus (domestic guinea pig)
Lineage: Eukaryota; Metazoa; Chordata; Mammalia; Rodentia; Caviidae
Rfam family: tRNA
About the family: Transfer RNA (tRNA) molecules are approximately 80 nucleotides in length. Their secondary structure includes four short double-helical elements and three loops (D, anti-codon, and T loops).
Source: Rfam by way of RNAcentral
GGGGAUUUAGCUCAGUGGUGUAAGCGCCUGCCUGGGAAGCACGAGGCCAUGAGUUCAAUCCCUG